RNAcentral lists this long non-coding RNA (1600 nucleotides) under Homo sapiens (human). RNAcentral's name for it is "non-protein coding lnc-BUB3-4:5". The record is from RNAcentral. Lineage: Eukaryota; Metazoa; Chordata; Mammalia; Primates; Hominidae.
UGCAGGAUUUUGGAAGCAAAGACAGAGAGGGCACCUGGAGAAUGGUUGCCAGAGUGAAAUUCCCCAGACAAUAGAGAUAAUUUGGAACUGUUUAAAGAACAAGGGAAGAAGAGCCCAAGGACCGUAGCAAGGCCCUGAUUCUGGGAGACGAGAGAACACGCUGACUUAGAAUGCUUGUCUCUGCAUCCUGGUCAGAAAGUAGAUGGACGACACUUUCAUCUCCGACUGGAUUUUGGUGAGAGAUGGGCAAACCCCGGGCUCUAGGCUGGAGCAGCAGCUCUUGUAUCCACACAAAAUCAGGACUGGUGGAGGGAGCCAUCUUCAAACAUAAAUUUGCGUCUUUUGGCAAUGCACUCCUUGGGUUUGGAAGCUUCCCUCCAAGAUGCUGAGCCCAAUGUUUGGGGAAAGCCAGGGAAACAGAUGCUGGGUCAGUGCUGCUCCCACCUCCUCUGCUCCCCUCCUGAGGGCUCCACUGAGUCACCAGCCAGCAAACAGCCCAUGCGCCCUGGAGCAGAUGGACUGUGGGUACACGAGCCUCUGAACUCUUGGGCAGCAUGGGCACAACAUCCUUUUGGCCUCACCCAAUGACCUGGCUGUGAGGCCAGAGGAGCUCCGUGCUGCUAGGAGAUCCAGGCAGAAACAUCCAGGAGUGGAAGCUCAGCCCAGCGGCUGGGAGGCUGUGGCACCUCCUGUCCACAUGGCAGGCCAGGCCGAGGUGGGCUGGCUACACAGUGGGGCUCCCCCUCUCUGAUAAGGGAUCGAACGGAUGCUUGAAAAUAAAUGGCACCUGUGGAGAAAGUGCCCCAUCCCUGAUUAUGUCAUCGGAGCCUCUGGUCCCCACACCGGCUGGAGGGCCCUGGGCUCAGCACUCUGCCUGACAGGAAGAUGUGAAUGCGGGCAGGGGAUAAAAGACAGUGACUCACUUUGUUUUAUUUUGUUUGCCAGGAAGCCUUUCUGAUGAGCCCAAGCAGCCAUCACUAAAAGAUCCGUGUGAAAUGGAGGCUAAUCUUCUGCAGGCAGGGAUAUGAAAGGAGAGGGUCUUCUAGAAAUGCAGAGACGCCUCCUCUUGACUGAGUUCCUUUCCCCAUGGGACCUCAGUUUCCCCAUCUGUGAAAUGAGGGGGUUUUGUAGGUGAUCUCUAAGAUGCUGUUAUUUGCCAUUAGCUAAGAAGAUGAAGUGCCGUAUGGUCCCUUAUGGUGGGGAUAGGCAGCUUGUGUGGGGUCAGGACUGUCCCUUACGGUGGGGAUGAGCAGGUUUCGUGGGGGAAGGACUGUCCCUAUGGUGGGGGUGAGCAGCUUGCAUGGGGUCAGGACUGGCUUCUUUGGAGGCAUCUGUCUCAGCCCCCCUCAAGGUUAACCUCAUUUCCUGGUGGGAUUGGUGAGUGGAAAAGCCAGAGGGUGAGGAACCAGGGCCUUCUAGGAUGCCAAAGACCCUGUGCAGAGGUUGUCUGCUCUGUGGGGGCUCUAGGCCUCUCUCCUUUAUCCAGGGAAGCUCUUCAGCACUGGGGGAGGAGAAGGGUUUGGGGAAUGGGAGGCCAGCCCAGCAUUCAGGAGCCCAGAUCCUUGGUACUUACCAAACCUCUUUGUGCACCUGCCCCAAG